ACAUUCAGGUAAUCGCUGCAUGCUUGUCGUGUAGAGGAAAGUCCAUGCUCGCACGGACUGCGAUGUCCGUAGUGAUCGUGCCUAGCCAAUUCAUAAGCUAGGGUAGUCUGGUUUUGACUGGACUAACGGCAAGGUAAGCACCUACGUCCAAUCGGAUAUGGUGUGAUGCCUUUGAAAGUGCCACAGUGACGGAGUCCAUUUGGAAACGAAUGGAGUGGAACGAGGUAAACCCCACGAGCGAGAAACCCAAAAUAUGGUAGGGGCAUCUUCUUAAACGGGAAUUGAACUGUUGAGAAGGACAAGGGAAUACCCUUGUAGAUAGAUGAUUGCCACCGGAGUACAAGGUUCAUCACCGUUUGCAGUACAAAGGUACAGAACAUGGCUUAUCGAA
Molecule: RNase P RNA, 391 nt
Filed under: Alkalihalobacillus sp. MEB130
Lineage: Bacteria; Bacillati; Bacillota; Bacilli; Caryophanales; Bacillaceae
Description: RNase P RNA component class B
Rfam family: Bacterial RNase P class B
About the family: Ribonuclease P (RNase P) is a ubiquitous endoribonuclease, found in archaea, bacteria and eukarya as well as chloroplasts and mitochondria.
Source: RNAcentral